UCACAUGUGGCACAGGUAGCAUUUCCUCUUGGUGACUGAAGCAAUGGGAGCUGUUCAGGUCUUGGUUAUUUGCGCGCUGACUGUUUUUCUUGCUAAAGGCUCUUGUUUGCCAGUUGGUGGCCCAAAUGAAAGACAUGAUGGGCUGCAGAGGAGAGUAAGAGCCAGGGCCGCUGUGGAGCCGGCGACGACCACGCCGGGCGGGCCCACUGUGGCGACGACCACGCCGGGCGGGCCCACCGUGG
Molecule: long non-coding RNA, 242 nt
Organism: Micropterus salmoides (largemouth bass)
Lineage: Eukaryota; Metazoa; Chordata; Actinopteri; Centrarchiformes; Centrarchidae
Exons: 3
Source: RefSeq, a predicted model, not a curated record